GACGAACGCUGGCGGCGUGCUUAACACAUGCAAGUCGAGCGGAAAGGCCCUUCGGGGUACUCGAGCGGCGAACGGGUGAGUAACACGUGAGUAACCUGCCCUGGACUUUGGGAUAACCCUCGGAAACGGGGGCUAAUACCGAAUAUGACCUGACAUCGCAUGAUGUUUGGUGGAAAGUUUUUCGGUCUGGGAUGGGCUCGCGGCCUAUCAGCUUGUUGGUGGGGUGAUGGCCUACCAAGGCGACGACGGGUAGCCGGCCUGAGAGGGCGACCGGCCACACUGGGACUGAGACACGGCCCAGACUCCUACGGGAGGCAGCAGUGGGGAAUAUUGCACAAUGGGCGGAAGCCUGAUGCAGCGACGCCGCGUGA
RNAcentral lists this ribosomal RNA (371 nucleotides) under uncultured bacterium. Its description in RNAcentral is "bacterial SSU rRNA". It matches the Rfam family "Bacterial small subunit ribosomal RNA", at positions 28 to 404 of the family's 1533-position model. The record is from RNAcentral.